This 340-nucleotide unclassified non-coding RNA is filed under the name uncultured fungus. Its description in RNAcentral is "partial contains 5.8S ribosomal RNA and internal transcribed spacer 2". The stretch from base 1 to 133 matches the Rfam family "5.8S ribosomal RNA", at positions 22 to 154 of the family's 154-position model. The record is from RNAcentral. Lineage: Eukaryota; Fungi.
UGGUUCCGGCAUCGAUGAAGAACGCAGCGAAAUGCGAUAAGUAAUGUGAAUUGCAGAAUUCAGUGAAUCAUCGAAUCUUUGAACGCAUAUUGCGCCCUCUGGUAUUCCGGUGGGCAUGCCUGUUCGAGCGUCAUUGAACAUCCCUCAAGCUCUGCUUGGUGUUGGGCGCCGCCGCGAGAGCGGCGCGCCCCAAAUGAAUUUUGGCUGCGGGGUUCCUCUCCGAGCGCUGUGAGGCGUACCAACGUCAUGCGUUACGGGGCGGGCCUGGCGGGCCAGCAAACAACAAAGUGGGAUCUUCCACUCCUCGUUUGACCUCGGAUCAGGUAGGGUUACCCGCUGA